UACGGGAGGCAGCAGCGGGCAAGAUUGAGCAAUGGCCGAAAGCCUGAAGAAGGCAACCGGCGUGAGUGAUGAAGGCCUUCGGGUGGUAAAGCACAGUUGUAAAGGAAGAAAGACCUGACGGUACCUACCAAAGAAGCACCGGCUAACUCCGUGCCAGCAGCCGCGGUAAUACGGAGGGUGCAAGCGUUGCUCGGAAUUACUGGGCGUAAAGCGUCCGCAGGCGGGUAGAUAAGUUGGAUGUGAAAGCCCAGGGCUCAACCCUGGAACUGCAUUCAAAACUGUCUGCCUUGAGUACAGGAGAGGGAAGCGGAAUUCCUGGUGUAGAGGUGAAAUUCGUAGAUAUCAGGAGGAACACCAGUGGCGAAGGCGGCUUCCUGGCUUGACACUGACGCUCAUGGACGAAAGCGUGGGGAGCAAACAGGA
Molecule: ribosomal RNA, 423 nt
Filed under: uncultured delta proteobacterium
Lineage: Bacteria; Deltaproteobacteria
Description: bacterial SSU rRNA
Rfam family: Bacterial small subunit ribosomal RNA
Source: RNAcentral